This 473-nucleotide ribosomal RNA is filed under the name uncultured bacterium. RNAcentral's name for it is "partial 16S ribosomal RNA". It matches the Rfam family "Bacterial small subunit ribosomal RNA", at positions 29 to 507 of the family's 1533-position model. The record is from RNAcentral.
ACGAACGCUGGCGGCGUGCUUAACACAUGCAAGUCGAGCGGUAAGGCUCCUUCGGGAGUCCACGAGCGGCGAACGGGUGAGUAACACGUGAGUAAUCUGCCCUUCACUUCGGGAUAACCACCGGAAACGGUGGCUAAUACCGAAUACGACCAGUCUUCGCAUGAGGUGCUGGUGGAAAGUCUUUUCGGUGAAGGAUGUGCUCGCGGCCUAUCAGCUUGUUGGUGGGGUAAUGGCCUACCAAGGCUUCGACGGGUAGCCGGCCUGAGAGGGUGACCGGCCACACUGGGACUGAGACACGGCCCAGACUCCUACGGGAGGCAGCAGUGGGGAAUAUUGGACAAUGGGCGAAAGCCUGAUCCAGCAACGCCGCGUGAGGGAUGACGGCCUUCGGGUUGUAAACCUCUUUCAGUACCGACGAAGCGCCCUGUCGGGUGGUGACGGUAGGUACAGAAGAAGGACCGGCCAACUACGUG